This 322-nucleotide ribosomal RNA is filed under the name Cercomonadida environmental sample. RNAcentral describes it as "SSU rRNA". The stretch from base 62 to 322 matches the Rfam family "Eukaryotic small subunit ribosomal RNA", at positions 694 to 955 of the family's 1831-position model. Lineage: Eukaryota; Cercozoa; Cercomonadida. The record is from RNAcentral.
GAUUUCUGGCUUGAAGCAUUUAGCCGGCCACGGUUUCGUGUGUUAGUGCUUGAUGCUCUGGCCAUCCUUCCAAUCGCUAUUGGCUAUUCUUCAUUGAUGUGUCAGUAGUAUUGGAUCUUUUACUUUGAAAAAAUUAGAGUGUUUCAAGCAGGCUUUAUGCUAUGAAUACAUUAGCAUGGAAUAAUAAUUUAGGACUUCGGUUCUAUUUUGUUGGUUUCUAGGACUGAAGUAAUGAUUGAUAGGGAUAGUUGGGGGUGCUAGUAUUCAGCGGCCAGAGGUGAAAUUCUCGGAUUCGCUGAAGACUAACUUAUGCGAAAGCAUU